This 991-nucleotide ribosomal RNA is filed under the name uncultured bacterium. Its description in RNAcentral is "bacterial SSU rRNA". It matches the Rfam family "Bacterial small subunit ribosomal RNA", at positions 508 to 1500 of the family's 1533-position model. The record is from RNAcentral.
CCAGCAGCGCGGUAAUACGAAGGUCCCGAGCGUUGUUCGGAAUCACUGGGCGUAAAGGGAGCGUAGGCGGCGUGGUAAGUCAGAUGUGAAAUCCGGRGCUCAACCCCGGAACUGCAUCCGAUACUGCCGUGCUAGAGGAUUGGAGAGGUAGCUGGAAUUCACGGUGUAGCAGUGAAAUGCGKGGAUAUCGUGAGGAACACUCGUGGCGAAAGCGAGCUACUGGACAACUCCUGACGCUGAGGCUCGAAGGCCAGGGUAGCGAAAGGGAUUAGAUACCCCUGUAGUCCUGGCAGUAAACGGUGUGCGCUUGGUGUGAGGGGAAUCGACCCCCCUUGUGCCGGAGCUAACGCGUUAAGCGCACCGCCUGGGAAGUACGGUCGCAAGACUAAAACUCAAAGAAAUUGACGGGGACCCGCACAAGCGGUGGAGUAUGUGGCUUAAUUCGAUGCAACGCGAAGAACCUUACCAAGGCUUGACAUGCAUCUCUAAGCGCGUGAAAGCGCGUGACCCUUCGGGGGAUUUGCACAGGUGCUGCAUGGCCGUCGUCAGCUCGUGUCGUGAGAUGUUGGGUUAAGUCCCGCAACGAMCGCAACCCUUGUGAUUAGUUGCCAGCACGUCAUGGUGGGAACUCUAAUCAGACUGCCCAGAUCAACUGGGAGGAAGGUGGGGACGACGUCAGGUCAGUAUGGCCCUUACGCCUUGGGCUGCACACGUACUACAAUGCCCAGUACAAUGAGAACCGAUGCCGCGAGGUGGAGGAAAUCUGUAAAACUGGGCCCAGUUCGGAUUGGAGGCUGCAACUCGCCUCCAUGAAGUUGGAAUCGCUAGUAAUGGCGCAUCAUCUACGGCGCCGUGAAUACGUUCCCGGGUCUUGUACACACCGCCCGUCACAUCAUGGAAGCCGGUCGCACCCGAAGUGCCUGUACCAACCGCAAGGGGGUAGGGUCCUAAGGUGUAGCUGGUAACUGGGAUGAAGUSGUAACAAGGUAAC